AAAAAAGGUAAGCUACUAAGAGCGAAUGGUGGAUGCCUUGACUGGUAAAGGCGAUGAAGGACGUACUAGACUGCGAUAAGCUACGGGGAGCUGUCAAGAAGCUUUGAUCCGUAGAUUUCCGAAUGGGGCAACCCAAUGUAUAGAGAUAUACAUUACCUAUAUAGGAGCGAACGAGGGGAAUUGAAACAUCUUAGUACCCUCAGGAAAAGAAAUCAAUAGAGAUUGCGUCAGUAGCGGCGAGCGAAAGCGUAAGAGGGCAAACCCAGUGCUUGCACUGGGGGUUGUAGGACUGCAAUGUGCAAGAGGUGAGUUUAGCAGAACAUUCUGGAAAGUAUAGCCAUAGAGGGUGAUAGUCCCGUAUGCGAAAAACAAACCUUAGCUAGCAGUAUCCUGAGUAGGGCGGGACACGAGAAAUCCUGUCUGAAGCUGGGUCGACCACGAUCCAACCCUAAAUACUAAUACCAGAUCGAUAGUGCACAAGUACCGUGAGGGAAAGGUGAAAAGAACUGAGGUGAUCAGAGUGAAAUAGAACCUGAAACCAUUUGCUUACAAUCAUUCAGAGCACUAUGUAGCAAUACAGUGUGAUGGACUGCCUUUUGCAUAAUGAGCCUGCGAGUUGUGGUGUCUGGCAAGGUUAAGCAAACGCGAAGCCGUAGCGAAAGCGAGUCUGAAUAGGGCGCUUAGUCAGAUGCUGCAGACCCGAAACGAAGUGAUCUAUCCAUGAGCAAGUUGAAGCUAGUGUAAGAACUAGUGGAGGACUGAACCCAUAGGCGUUGAAAAGCCCCGGGAUGACUUGUGGAUAGGGGUGAAAGGCCAAUCAAACUUCGUGAUAGCUGGUUCUCUCCGAAAUAUAUUUAGGUAUAGCGUUGUGUCGUAAUAUAAGGGGGUAGAGCACUGAAUGGGCUAGGGCAUACACCAAUGUACCAAACCCUAUCAAACUCCGAAUACCUUAUAUGUAAUCACAGCAGUCAGGCGGCGAGUGAUAAAAUCCGUCGUCAAGAGGGAAACAACCCAGACUACCAGCUAAGGUCCCUAAAUCUUACUUAAGUGGAAAACGAUGUGAAGUUACUUAAACAACCAGGAGGUUGGCUUAGAAGCAGCCAUCCUUUAAAGAAAGCGUAAUAGCUCACUGGUCUAGUGAUUUUGCGCGGAAAAUAUAACGGGGCUAAAGUAAGUACCGAAGCUGUAGACUUGCGCACAACUUAGAUUAUUUAAGUUUAGAAUAUGAGAAACUAAGUUAUAUGUUUAGUUAUAUUUUUACUGAUUUUUAUAGAGUAAAGAUAGAAAUAAAACUUAGUAAAAUCAGUAAAAAUAUUCUUAGACUAAAGUUAAGUAGUUUAAGUUGUGUGCAAGUGGUAGGAGAGCGUUCUAUUUGCGUCGAAGGUAUACCGGUAAGGAGUGCUGGAGCGAAUAGAAGUGAGCAUGCAGGCAUGAGUAGCGAUAAUUAAUGUGAGAAUCAUUAACGCCGUAAACCCAAGGUUUCCUACGCGAUGCUCGUCAUCGUAGGGUUAGUCGGGUCCUAAGUCGAGUCCGAAAGGGGUAGACGAUGGCAAAUUGGUUAAUAUUCCAAUACCAACAUUAGUGUGCGAUGGAAGGACGCUUAGGGCUAAGGGGGCUAGCGGAUGGAAGUGCUAGUCUAAGGUCGUAGGAGGUUAUACAGGCAAAUCCGUAUAACAAUACUCCGAGAACUGAAAGGCUUUUUGAAGUCUUCGGAUGGAUAGAAGAACCCCUGAUGCCAUCGAGCCAAGAAAAGUUUCUAAGUUUAGCUAAUGUUGCCCGUACCGUAAACCGACACAGGUGGGUGGGAUGAGUAUUCUAAGGCGCGUGGAAGAACUCUCUUUAAGGAACUCUGCAAAAUAGCACCGUAUCUUCGGUAUAAGGUGUGGUUCGCUUCGUAUUAGGAUUUACUCCGAAAGCGAAGAAACUUACAACAAAGAGUCCCUCCCGACUGUUUACCAAAAACACAGCACUCUGCUAACUCGUAAGAGGAUGUAUAGGGUGUGACGCCUGCCCGGUGCUCGAAGGUUAAUUGAUGGGGUUAGCAUUAGCGAAGCUCUUGAUCGAAGCCCGAGUAAACGGCGGCCGUAACUAUAACGGUCCUAAGGUAGCGAAAUUCCUUGUCGGUUAAAUACCGACCUGCAUGAAUGGCGUAACGAGAUGGGAGCUGUCUCAAAGAGGGAUCCAGUGAAAUUGUAGUGGAGGUGAAAAUUCCUCCUACCCGCGGCAAGACGGAAAGACCCCGUGGACCUUUACUACAGCUUGACACUGCUAUUUGGAUAAGAAUGUGCAGGAUAGGUGGGAGGCUUUGAGUAUAUGACGCCAGUUGUAUAUGAGCC
This 2336-nucleotide ribosomal RNA is filed under the name Campylobacter coli. RNAcentral's name for it is "partial 23S ribosomal RNA". It matches the Rfam family "Bacterial large subunit ribosomal RNA", at positions 1 to 2187 of the family's 2925-position model. The record is from RNAcentral. Lineage: Bacteria; Pseudomonadati; Campylobacterota; Epsilonproteobacteria; Campylobacterales; Campylobacteraceae.